Mya arenaria is the source of this 3875-nucleotide long non-coding RNA. RefSeq lists it as uncharacterized. The transcript is spliced from 5 exons. Lineage: Eukaryota; Metazoa; Mollusca; Bivalvia; Myida; Myidae. The record is from RefSeq and is a predicted model, not a curated record.
GUAGGGUUUCAUGAAAGCCUCUUGUUGGAACUCUAAUACUUUAUGUAUUUUUUUCAAUUUUAGACCGAGUUGGAGAUACAGUUGCAGGUUGCGAUAGUGAAGUACAUAAUUCUGUUUGUUUUCUAAAGUGGGGAGUGUUCGGGAGGGGUUUCCCCUGCCGACAACCAUCAAAUUUGGCAUGUUUGACCUGGUUUCAACAAGCAUUAUAAUACCCGGGAGGAAAUGAUGAUGAACCAGCCAGACAGCCCGCCUGCCACCCCGCCGAGCUGUACUUUGUGUAUGCCAACAUGCCGACAUGCUAAAAUUUGUUAGCACUUCAAGAUCAAUGGAAAAUUGUAUCCAAACUGAAGUAUAAACCAGCCUGGUUGCUGUAGCCACAGAGGAAUUUUCAAGGACAAGAACCAGUGCUGGUCAAAAUGUGGUCUCGUGUGGUUUUCCAUACCGGCUCUCAGCAAGGAUUUCCGAGAAAGGAAUACCGCCUUCAAAUCAUGAUGUGCCAAUAAGCUCCAGUGAGCUGCGGCUUUUUCCCCGGUGGUAGUCCUGCAAUAUGAAUGCAGGAGAUGCAGCUCUGAAUCCAAUAUUUCAGAAGAAUGAAGAUGUUAGUCAACUCUGUAGUACUUGUUUGUGUGUAAAUGAUUCCAAAGAGUGAGAUUUAUAGCAAAUAAGCAACUUAUAGACAAUGGUGAAGUGGCUGUGCUCCGAAUUUGAUGCCAAAUCUAGCCUUCAAAGCAGAUACUUAAAGUAAAAAGUUUUUAAAAAAAUGGGCAUAAUAAUGCUAUCUCUGCAUUUUCUACAUCAUGUAGGCACCUCAAUAAUCAAAACACUAGCAGUUGUCAUGAAUCUUUCAGUUUUGGUGGGUUUUUUCCAUUUCCUUUGUUGCGCCAUUUGUCCCAGAAGCAAACAAUUUGGCAUAUAGUGGUAUUUAAACUGUCUAUAAACACAUGAUCACUAACUUUCUUUUGUUAAACUGAACAAUUCUGUUACCUAUGUAUAUAAGUGGACCAGAAAAGCAAAAUUUUGACAAGUUGAAGCAUUUCAGUUUGGCUCGAUGUCAUUUUUUAUAUAAAACACUAAGCCGAUGAAGUGGAAAAACCUUAUUUUGCUUAGAAAAAAAUCUUAAAAGAGUAGGCAGGCCAUUUUUUGUGGUCUGUUCUAUAGACACUAUUUUGGCUACAAGGAAAACGUUACUUUGUCAAAUUAUUCCAAUGCAUAAGGAAAUAAUGGCUCUUCAAAAGUUUGCGGCUUACCAUUUGAGGGAAAUGGCUGUUUCUGCUUUUUUAUGAAAAUACCACAGGUGCUAAUACUUGUCUUAUUCAGUUAGUGUUUGAUAUAUCAUUGCCAAACUUUCAGUAUGUGUUGCAUAUAGCCUUAAGUUGAACUAUAGGGGUUUUGAAGUCUGUUUCUUAAAUGUUGCUUAAAUAGGCUUAAGACCACAGUUAUCUGCCCCCCGUUGACCAAGAUCCGGAUGUGAAUAUAGAAAAAAGAGUGCUUGUGUUGAAGUAUCAAUAUUUUAUUAAAGUUGAAUGAAAGAGAAGAAACAGGUGGCCUUUUUGCAUAGAGCUUAACAUAAUUUGACACUGUUUUGCAAAAACUGAUAGUUUUCACUGUAAAAAUUGGAAAAAUCAUUGCCUGUUGAACUUUGUUUAUUGGUUGUUUGUAGCCUUAUUCCGUCUUGACCUCAGGGUCAUGUCUUACUACUCAAUUUUGUGAGAAAACGCAAUAGUCCACCCUAUGUUUUCUUGUUAUUAAAUUUUGUGUCUUGGAUUGUUCUACAGCAGUCAGUUACUUGUUUUUCAAUUGGGACUGUUUUAAAGUAAGCCAGGUUAGUGUCUAAAUGGAACAUAUAUUCAAGAUAACUGUGGUCUCACACCACAUAGCAUGCGCUUCUAAAAAUAGGCAUUUUUUGGUUUCCCCAAGUCUGAGGUGUUAAGCGCUUAUUAAAAUGCAUUGUGAAUCUGGUUACAACCGGUGUUUGCCUUAUUUCUAAACGACAUUUGCAACAAAAUGACAGCUAUUAAAUGUGAACAAACAAUAAUUACAGAAUAAACUUAUUAAACUUAAAAAGUUGUGUUAUGGUAAAAAUCUUAUAUAUGUAUAUGAUUGAAACUGGGUUCGGUAUAAUAAAAUAAAUAUUGCAUGGCUUCCAGUGUAACAGUACAUAUUGUCAACAUUCGGGUAAAUAUUUAUAUAAUGACAUAUUUUGGGAUAUUACUCAGGACAAAAACAUUGUACAUAUAUGCUUAAGAAGACUUUAUAUCAAAGGAAUAGCACUGUUUUUGUCAUAGUUUAGGGAUAGAGUUUCUACCCUAUUAACAGCUAUUUAUGUAAUUUAUUUUCUGACAUGUGUGAUACCUGUUGUUGUUUUUUUCAUUUAUUGUGAUUUCUGAUGUUAAAGCUACACUCUCACAGAUUGAACGUUUUUACAAUUUUUUUUUUAUUUUUUGUCUUCGAACGAACAAGUUUUUGCGUAAAUAUCUGCAAACCAAUGAUACAAUUCUUCUGACAAAAGAUCAGAUCACAGCUUUUCAUAUUUCCGUCCCAAAAACGAUGUUUUAUGCAUUUUUAUUAAACCGUUAGUAAUGGUUUAAGCCAUAAAACAUUAAUUUGGAAUGGAAAUAUGAAAAUCUGCGAUCUGAUCUUUUCUCAGCAGUCAUUCAUCACUGGUAAGCAGAUAUUUACUCAAAACAAACUAAUUCCAAGACAAUUUUUUUUUUUUUAAUUUUGCAUUUUGAUAUUUUCCUCCAUAAUCAAAUGUGUGCAGAAAUGACAACCUCAAAUAAGUGGAUUUUUCUUUAAUUUAUAUCAAUGCUUUAAAGGAAAACAAUCAAAAACAAAAAGUCAUUGCUUUGGUUCAUGUACAAGCAGGAAAGUUAUUAACAACUUCUAAACUUGACAAUCAUGUACAUUACACUGCUUAAUUAAGACCAUGUAGUAGUAACUUUCAAUCCAUUAUUUUUUCAAAAGAUUAUCAGAUAUUCUUAGUAUAAGCCUUAAAUAUAUUUUAGCAUUAACUUAUUCAUUCACUUAUGUUGCCCUCCACAUUCAAAUGAUAAAACAAUUGAAACUUAUAAGGCUCACUUUUGUUUUCAUUUUCAUGCAUUUUUUCUGUUACUUUUUAUAUAUUUAUUUUCUAAUUACAGACUUAUUCUACAAUUAUACUAUAAACGAAACACUUAUGUGAUGGAAAUAUAUUGCAGAUAUUGAAAUGUGCUUUAAAAAUAUACUAGUUACUAGUUUUUGAAAAUGGAAGUAAACUCCUUAAAUCUUUUGGUUUGAAAAAAUGAAGUUUUAAUAAAAGUUGAGUAAUGUUCUUAUGUUUGACCCUUCCCUCAAUGGGCAAUUUAUUGCAUUCAUCUUUUUUAUAAAAAAAAUUUCCUUUACUUUUACUAUUUGUAUUUUUUUCUGUGUAAACGAUAUAGUUUUAUCAAAUGUGAUAAUGCUUUUGACAUGUGAUAUUAAAAAUAACUGUUGUAUAUACUGUUUAUCAGGGAUUAUACUCAUGCAUUUGGUCAAAGGAAUGUUUUACUGAUGUUGCAGUUAAAUCAACAUAUUUUAUGAAAUGGAUAGUGUUGAAGAUAAAGCUUCAAAUAUGAGUAUUAAAUGUUAUUGUUACAAGAAUAUAUACUCAUCUUUUACUUUUUUUUAAAAUGUCUUCAGUAUCAGCUGAAUGCUCAUGUUUAACCCUCAUUAUAAUUAUAUGCUACCUAGUUCGUGUUCAUAUUAAUUGAUAAUUUGUCUACUACAACAUAACUGUAUGCAUUUCACAUUACAAAUUUACAAUGGCCAUUUGCAUAUUUAUCUCAUAUUUUAUAGCUUUAGUUUAUGAAUGUAUGUAGAUAGUGUAUCUAUGUAAAUUAAGGACUCAUAAAUAAACU